This 76-nucleotide transfer RNA is filed under the name Streptomyces anulatus. Its description in RNAcentral is "tRNA-Trp". It matches the Rfam family "tRNA". Rfam says of the family: Transfer RNA (tRNA) molecules are approximately 80 nucleotides in length. The record is from RNAcentral. RNAcentral also lists the same sequence under 2 other names. Lineage: Bacteria; Bacillati; Actinomycetota; Actinomycetes; Kitasatosporales; Streptomycetaceae.
AGGGGCGUAGCUCAGCGGCCAGAGCGGCGGUCUCCAGAACCGUAUGUCGCAGGUUCGAUUCCUGCCGCCCCUGCCA